CGCCGGUUGAAAGCGCGUGUCUGCGUCGGGUUCUGUUGGAGUGCGUUCGGUGCGCCGUGGGUCCGCGCUGCUUCCACCCAACUUCCUGUUAGAUGACCGCCGUGUGGUAAACUGAUGAACCCCGACCCUGAUGAACGUGAGAUGACCGCCGUGUGGUAAACUGAUGAACCCCGACCCUGAUGAACGUGAGAUGACCGCCGUGUGGUAAACUGAUGAACCCCGACCCUGAUCAACGUGAGAUGACCGCCGUGUGGUAAACUGAUGAACCCCGACCCUGAUGAACAUGAGAUGACCGCCGUGUGGUAAACUGAUGAACCCCGACCCUGAUCAACAUGAGAUGACCGCCGUGUGGUAAACUGAUGAACCCCGACCCUGAUCAACAUGAGAUGACUGCCGUGUGGUAAACUGAUGAACCCUGACCCAUUAGGCUUUGGCUACAGAAUGUGGAAAUAAGUUGUGUUACUACAUGUGUGUAAUCCUAGGGUGCAGGACACCGGCCGGGAGGUUCCAUAGAGUGAUGGGUUCUGCAGGUAACUCAUCCUCUAGUCCUCUGUAAGCUCCUAGAAGGAAGAAAUUAUGUCCUUUAGACUAAUAAAAUUCCUCCAAACCAAAUACAGCACCUACUGUGAAGACACAAAGAUACUUUUAGAAUAGUAAAAACUUUAUCCAUUGAGAAAUUCCUUAAUGAAACAGUAUCCAAGAAGUCAUUUGCCAGCAGAUUUCUUAGAGGUGCGAUAAAGAAGAGGACAUUGCCAGUCGUCACAGCAGCUGCAAUAGCUCCUCUCUAUUGUUAAACAGUGGGAUAUCUUGUGCAGGUUUUCAGUUGACAAUCAAUUUUAAAGAUUAGUUUCGGUCCCCAUCAAUCAAUUAUUUAUU
Molecule: long non-coding RNA, 876 nt
Filed under: Homo sapiens (human)
Lineage: Eukaryota; Metazoa; Chordata; Mammalia; Primates; Hominidae
Description: non-protein coding LINC01128:77
Source: RNAcentral